UUGCAUAUCUCUUAUAAUAUUAUUAGUAUUAGUAUUGUGCUUGAAAUUUUGCAUAAGAUUGUACUGGACAGAAAACUAACACUCAAUCCCUUCCAAUUUAGAUAUCAUUGUUUUGAAAAAGCAUAAUGUCAUACUCUACUAAUAAUCAUUAAUUAUUUUUUCUUUUAAAUAACAUAACUUGUUGUGUACCCUACAAGAUUAAGCAGAGUAGUUACUAGUACCAAAAAUACUAAUUUUAAAAAAUUAUUUUUCU
This 253-nucleotide long non-coding RNA is filed under the name Solanum tuberosum (potato). RNAcentral describes it as "long non-coding RNA (STUB_LNC006569)". The record is from RNAcentral. Lineage: Eukaryota; Viridiplantae; Streptophyta; Magnoliopsida; Solanales; Solanaceae.